RNAcentral lists this ribosomal RNA (467 nucleotides) under uncultured bacterium. RNAcentral's name for it is "partial 16S ribosomal RNA". It matches the Rfam family "Bacterial small subunit ribosomal RNA", at positions 28 to 506 of the family's 1533-position model. The record is from RNAcentral.
GACGAACGCUGGCGGCGUGCUUAACACAUGCAAGUCGAACGGAAAGGCCCUGCUUUUGUGGGGUGCUCGAGUGGCGAACGGGUGAGUAACACGUGAGUAACCUGCCCUUGACUUUGGGAUAACUUCAGGAAACUGGGGCUAAUACCGGAUAGGAGCUCCUGCUGCAUGGUGGGGGUUGGAAAGUUUCGGCGGUUGGGGAUGGACUCGCGGCUUAUCAGCUUGUUGGUGGGGUAGUGGCUUACCAAGGCUUUGACGGGUAGCCGGCCUGAGAGGGUGACCGGCCACAUUGGGACUGAGAUACGGCCCUGACUCCUACGGGAGGCAGCAGUGGGGAAUAUUGCACAAUGGGCGGAAGCCUGAUGCAGCAACGCCGCGUGCGGGAUGACGGCCUUCGGGUUGUAAACCGCUUUCGCCUGUGACGAAGCGUGAGUGACGGUAAUGGGUAAAGAAGCACCGGCUAACUACGU